UACCAGCACCCCGAGUGGUCGGGACGAUUAUUGGGCCUAAAGCAUCCGUAGCCGGUCAUGCAAGUCCUCCGUUAAAUCCACCUGCUUAACAGAUGGGCUGCGGAGGAUACUACAAGGCUAGGAGGCGGAAGAGGCAAGCGGUACUCAGUGGGUAGGGGUAAAAUCCUCUGAUCCAUUGAAGACCACCAGUGGCGAAGGCGGCUUGCCAAUACGCGCUCGACGGUGAGGGAUGAAAGCUGGGGGAGCAGACCGG
RNAcentral lists this ribosomal RNA (253 nucleotides) under uncultured bacterium. Its description in RNAcentral is "partial 16S ribosomal RNA". It matches the Rfam family "Archaeal small subunit ribosomal RNA", at positions 474 to 727 of the family's 1478-position model. The record is from RNAcentral.